UGCAACACUUUUCAAAACUGAUCUAGGG
Molecule: non-coding RNA, 28 nt
Filed under: Homo sapiens (human)
Lineage: Eukaryota; Metazoa; Chordata; Mammalia; Primates; Hominidae
Source: RNAcentral